UUUUCGUAUUCACUAGCCUUUUGAAAACUUAAACCCAAAGUUAUAAAACUAUAAUAGGUGCUCUUAUUAAUAGAUAGAUCAAUAGAUACAAUCUGCCUUGAGGGUACAAGGACUAAACUUUACAGUAUGAAUAUCAUCCUCUUGGUUUGCAACUGUCUCAAACCCCUUGACUUUGUCUGUUUGAGUACUCAGCCCAGUCCAUAUGCGUCUAUUAGUGAAUACGUAGUUUCAAGUAUAAGUCAAGUAGAAAUAAAUACAAAAAUACAACAUCAUAAGGAAAAUAAAACAUAUUGCUGCUUUUAGCUAUGGUUGCCAGCAACUGUAGACCACUAGAACAUUUCAACAUUGCAAGAUCUCAGCGGAGAAAUGCACAGUAGUACCGAUGAACUGUUUUCCCUUCCUCUCUGUAGUCCUCCUCAUUCAGCUGCUUCCUAGAUUCAAGAGAAAAGGGUCUAUCUAAAAAGGACACAAUAUCCAGCACAGACAAGUCACCAGCCUGCUCUUUGACAUUCAAAGCAUGGGACGCCUGACUGGGAUAUUUCUUUGUCGUUUUUUUGUUGUUGUCAUAUGCUAUAUUACUUCCUGUUUGUUAAAACAGGACCUCGAAACAACACAACACAUCACCUCAUUUUAAUUUUUUAUUUUUCUUACCAAAACCUGGUGAGCGGAAACUAAAUCUUGCACAAUUGCUCAUUAAAAUAAAUGUUGUAUUAUUUGGUUUUAAAAAUGUAAGUUAUUAUUCAAAUUGACCAACCGAUCAGAGACCACAUUACCUCUUUAAUUAGCUAAUUAAACUGCCCUAUAAAAGUAGAUGACAAAUCUAUGAAAAAUACAUCAAACCUAAAAUAAAUGUUUGUUUGGUUGGUACAAAUAGUGCCACUGACAACCAAUACUUGUGAGGUAAAAAGUGCAGGUAUGUUCAAGUUUAUCCCUGGAAAAUCAUCAGCUAGGCUGAUAAAUUAUCUAAAUGAUGAACAUUUAAUGAUUGAUCAUGAUAAAUGUGAUUCGUACCUGUUUCUUAUAGCAGAAAUUCGAUAUAAAUAUUGAUAUAAUUGUAAAAAAGUUAUGCCUAAAACAUAGACUUUUUAUAUCAAGUAUACAUUUUAAAAGACCAUGGCUAUAUUCAAUUCCAGCCAAAAUUGUAGCACUCAAAUUUAGCAUUUAUCUUUUUAUUCAUUUAUUGAUAGAAAAAGAAAAGAAAAAGUGAUUGGCAUUGAGUUUGUCCUCCCUGGGUUUCUGUGAGCUAAUCUGAAUUCUAGCACUUUCAACCUUUAAAAAAGAGUAUUUUUUUCUUUUAACAUAUAAUCUUAUAUGUUGAUAUGUUUUUCAUUUGUAUUUGAUCCUGUAUAUGUAUGUGCCAUUAGUUUGAUGUGUAGAUUUGAUCAACCUUUGUGUAUUUUUCUCCAAAAGUAUAACAGUAUUUUUGAUAGACUUUUCACUAAUACCUUCUUGCAUGGGCCCCCAGUCCCCCCUGAGCCCCGUUGGGUCACCAGCAUUGCCUUCUCGAUUGAAAUUGUAUCUAACCAACAACAAAAAUGUCUACAACCAAGUAUUUGUAACAGAGAUUUGUAAUCCAAUUGCCUCUCAGAGAACAUGGUGAGCGUUACACAUCAUCGUCCCUAUGACAUCAUCACAUCCACAAUCUGGAAUAGAACAACUACCAGAUUGUUGAACAGCACAUUAUCUGGGGAACCCAGUUUUAAAGCACUUUUAUUUUGCACCCCGUGUUCAUAACAACUGACUGCUGCAUGACUGAAAAGGGUCGUACUAGUGCCAAGUAGCUGUAGAAUACAUGUUGCUUCUAGACACAAUAAGGCAGUCUGGAAAUGAAUAUGUUUACAACACGCUCUAUGGACCACGCUGUGUCAAGACAGGGCUUUGCUACAGAGAAGGCACGUCUUCCAUCUGCCCCAGUUUACAGUAGACUUCACCCCACACAUAACAGUAGAGACGAUGGAAAUGCUAAUCAUUCAUUGGCGGAAGAAAACUGGAUGACCUAAUCAUGAGUUCAUCCCACUCGUUUUGGAGAGAUGACUCCUCUAACCUCUGCUAAGGUACAUCCUGAGAAGGCCUACCUCUGACAGUGGUGUUAUGAUUCAAAGCAUCUGAUAGGUCAUUGGCAUCGUUAAUGAAAGGUUGUGGAAGUAAUAUCUCACCUUAAGUUUUGACUUGAGUGCGGAGCGGAUGUUUUGCUACAAUGCCUCGUAGGUUCAUUACCUCGACUGCACCUACUAGGGAUGCACUUGUCGACACCGUUCCUCUGUUAGUAGGUGCAGAACACAGAAUUUAAGGGGAUUAUUUUAUCCAUUUUAAGUCAGAAAACCAAUUGGAUUUCAUUAAUACUUCUUUUUUUUUUUUCUAGUGAGAAACUGGGUACUGUCUGGAGAAGACAAAAUCCCCAUUAGUUUUAUAUAUUUUCAGCUUAAUGUAAGUCUUGCAUUCUAAGCUCUUUGUGCAUCUUCUUUAGCGACAUAGACAUGUAUGUUUAGUACUUGCUCAUUACAGCCACCUCUGGGGAAAAGGUGAACAAAACAAAAAUGGAAUAUUUACAUUCAUCCUUACACUAUUUUAUAUAGCAUGGAGUUGAUCAACUACAGGGAGAAUUGUAUAAGAAUAUUCUUCAGAGAAAAAAAACGUAGCUUGUUUGUCACAUAUCUCACAUGCAAUCAGUUGCUGCAAAGUGACAGAUUUGUGUAUUGGUUGAUCCAAAGAGAUGACAUAACAACACUCUUUACUCGUUGUACAGUACCAUUGGAUCUUUGACCUGUCGUGUACAGUACCAUUGUAUCUUUGACCUGUCGUGUACAGUACCAUUGGAUCUUUGACCUGUCAUGUACAGUACCAUUGUAUCUUUGACCUGUCAUGUGUUGUGUUGAAAUGAUUAAAAGACAAACCCACGGUUUCAUA
This is a long non-coding RNA of Coregonus clupeaformis (lake whitefish), 2907 nucleotides long. RefSeq lists it as uncharacterized. The record is from RefSeq and is a predicted model, not a curated record. Lineage: Eukaryota; Metazoa; Chordata; Actinopteri; Salmoniformes; Salmonidae. The transcript is spliced from 2 exons.